UUCGUUUAGGAUCGAUCUCCGUCUGUGGGCCCACUGGGCUAUUUUUCGUUCCAUCCAGUGCACACGCCCUUGGACUGUGCAUGGAACUACAGAUCUAGCACCAGACGACAGGGAACACGCGCUGUAUAGUAUUUUGACAUCGCCAGACUCACCAGACCUUGCUUCGGUGGGUUUUUGUUUGGGCCUUAACGAGCAUCAUCAACAGGUUGCCACUGUAUCCGUACCAUAAACCUCUGUACCGUGAUAACAGUUCGAAGACCUUCACCAUACAAGAUGAACAAACUGAUGCUAGUUUUCAUGAUGACCCUGCUUCUUGCAAUUGCAGUAACUGGAAAACCAGCUGUCGAUGAGCUUGGAAAGCGUAGCUUCGAGUCUGGGAGCUUUGAGAGCGGAGAGGGUGGUUUGUUCUACCUUUGGUGUAUCCAUGUGUAUGGCCCCAUUGCAUGUAGUUUCUUCGGAAAUGGCGACGACAAAAAGUAGAGAAACGAUUUUCAACACGACGGCGCUGUCCCAUCACUAAGCGUUUCUACUAUACAGUUACUGAAGUGUUGAAAGCGUCGGUUGAUAAUAAAAAGAUAUUCUCGCAUUAACAAUAUGGUUGUUGGUUGUAUGUGUGCAUAAGCGUACGAGACAGGGGCAGGGGGAGGGGACUGCGCCUCCAGGCUGGAUUUCUCUAAUAUGGUUAUUAUUGGUUGUUUGUGUGCAUAAGGAUACGAGACAGGGGGAGGGGAGGGGACUUUCCUCCAGGCUGGAUUUCUCGAAUAUGGUUGAUGGUUGUUAGUUGUUAGUGUGUAUUAGUGUACGAGAAUAUGUUAGUAAUAAACAUGUUGCAAUUGUAGCAAACUCGGAACAGUUCCUUUAAAAUCACAGUGUCCUCUCGCAAGAAUGUGUA
This is a long non-coding RNA of Gigantopelta aegis, 892 nucleotides long. RefSeq lists it as uncharacterized. Lineage: Eukaryota; Metazoa; Mollusca; Gastropoda; Neomphalida; Peltospiridae. The record is from RefSeq and is a predicted model, not a curated record. The transcript is spliced from 3 exons.